GAUGAAGAACGCAGCGAAAUGCGAUAAGGAGUGUGAAUUGCAGAAUUCAGUGAAUCAUCGAAUCUUUGAACGCACAUUGCGCCCUUUGGUAUUCCUUAGGGCAUGCCUGUUCGAGCGUCAUUUAAACCUUCAAGCUCAGCUUGGUGUUGGGUGACUGUCCGCUUCACCGCGGACUCGCCUCAAAAUUAUUGGCGGCCGGUACAUUGGCUUCGAGCGCAGCAGAAACGCGAACUCGGGCCCGUCGUAUUGGCUCCCAGAAGCUAUCUUCACAAUUUUGACCUCGGAUCAGGUAGGGAUACCCGCUGAACUUAAGCAUAUCAAUAAGCGGAGGA
Molecule: unclassified non-coding RNA, 332 nt
Filed under: soil metagenome
Description: partial contains 5.8S ribosomal RNA, internal transcribed spacer 2, and large subunit ribosomal RNA
Rfam family: 5.8S ribosomal RNA (bases 1-120)
Source: RNAcentral